Molecule: ribosomal RNA, 410 nt
Filed under: uncultured bacterium
Lineage: Bacteria
Description: bacterial SSU rRNA
Rfam family: Bacterial small subunit ribosomal RNA
Source: RNAcentral
UCAGGCCUAACACAUGCAAGUCAAACGGGUUUUUUUAGCUUGCUAAAAAGAUAAGUGGCGAACGGGUGAGUAACGCGUGAGAAUUUACCUUUAGGAAGGCAAUAACAAUUAGAAAUAUUUGCUAAAAGCCUAUAUGCAUAUAAUGAAUUUUAUAUUGUGAAAUAAGUUUUCUUGCCUAAAGAGAAGCUCGCGUCUGAUUAACUAGUUGGUAGGGUAAAGGCCUACCAAGGUGACGAUCAGUAGCUGGUCUGAGAGGAUGAUCAGCCACACUGGAACUGAGACACGGUCCAGACUCCUACGGGAGGCAGCAGUGAGGAAUUUUCUGCAAUGGGCGAAAGCCUGACAGAGCAAUACCGCGUGAGGGAAGAAGGCCUAUGGGUUGUAAACCUCUUUUCUCAAGGAGGAAGAAA